Non-coding RNA from Zootoca vivipara (common lizard), 4055 nucleotides. Lineage: Eukaryota; Metazoa; Chordata; Lepidosauria; Squamata; Lacertidae. The record is from RefSeq and is a predicted model, not a curated record.
GAGAGAGAGAGAGAGAGAGAGAGCGGGAGGGAGAACACAGACGCGGGGCGGGACGAGUCUUGAGGGUUUUUCUCUGUCUGUGCUCCCCUCGGUGGGCUCGAACCACGGCUGCUGCUACUGCUGCUCCCUGCCGGCCGACAAGUAAACAAAUGGCGGCUGGUGGAGGUGGUGCGGUGCGUGGUGUGGAGCUGCGGGGUGGACAGGCCCGGCCUGGUCUGGGGCGGUCAGCCCACCUUCUCGCAGGGCUGUGAAGCGGGAUGGGAGUGAUGGUGGUCGUCGGGGCCCGGAGGGGGGCGUUGCCAUGAGGGGCUGACAGCUGGCGCGGUCUUUUAUGAGGAGGCCCCGGGAGGUGCUUUCCUUGGGGCAGUGGCGCUGCUGCUUUUGGCCUCCCCCGCCCCCCCCCCGUUGUGUUUAAGACGGGUCUCAAGGGAGGGUAGGGGUCGGUGCGAGGGAAGGGGAAGAUACGCCUGUGGCGCUGGCUCCUUCCCUUCUCUUCGCGGCCCACCCCUCCUCUUCUCUCUUUCCCCUUUGGUGUAGAUGGAAACAAUGGACAGAGGGGAAUGGACCGCCUCCUCCUUGAGCCGAUUACUUAGCAUGGCUACGGCAGUAAUAUGCGGAGCUGCUCAACCACACACACACACAACCCCCCCCCCCCUCCGCGCCCAGCUCCCAGUGGUCAAAAAAGCCCUAUUGUGAGUUGGGGUGUGUUGGUGCGACUGCUGCAAGGCAUCGCGCUCCCUGCCCUCCCGUCCCCCAAGGGAAGGUGUUAAACAAAUUAGUAGGCUACAGAUAAGCGUGUUAGAUUCACCGAAGGGGAUUUCCCUGGGUUCCUAUAUGGGCGUGUGUUAAAAAUAAAUGGUUAAAUGCAAGGGCAGUUCUGCCCUAGAUGACUUGGCUCCAUUGAGGGUUGUCCUGUGGUUAAGCCUGAGCCUUAAAAGGAGACGGCAUCGUUCCCUAUGUUAAACAUGUGGGAGGGAAGGAGUAUGGCUCUGCCUGUCACUUGUUAUAAAGAGGAAUAGAACACAAUGGAAAGCGGUAUUGAUUCUUGGAAUAGCUUCUUGUAACAUCUUUGCCUACAUAUCUAAUAUGGAAGAGUUUCUAAUAAUCAAUCACCUAAUUGAAAAUGAAUGGAUGGGUACAAUGUUUUGUAAACGUUUGUAAGCUGAAAGCAGAAUGCAGUAAAAGCUACAGUUUGGGAAAGGAGACAUUGUAGUAAUUGUAAAAUAAGAGAACCUUGUCAGAUUUUUUAAAAAGACAUGAAACAGUGACCAUAGGGACUAUUGUUCAGAGAGGAAUAUGAAUACUACAGUACUUUAGUUCUCUGAAUUUCCCUAUCACAUUUUGUUGGCAUCUACUGUAACAGUACAGUUUGUAGUUUUUGUGCUACGUAGUAAAAAAAAAAAAGUGAAAGAAUAUAGCUGGGACUUGAGUUAUGCUGAAGUAUAUGGCUUAAGCCUGAAUUUAAAAAGAGGGGUGGGGGAUAAUCCUGUUCAAUAAAACAUUAUCAACUAUGAAAUUCUUUAAGUGACAUGGUUUGUAUAUGUAUAUGUAUCUGAUAAUGCUUAUUUUAUCUGAAAUGAGUUGUUACAAUUAGGAGCAGCUCUUUGAAAAUAAGUCUUGGAGUCAUUCAGUAUUUGAGGUUCGGCACUGAAAUUCUGUACAGUAUUCACAAACUUUAACAUUUUCCUUAAGCUUCUCCCUGCAUUCUUUAUCUUAGGUGCAAUCAAGGGGUGGCAGAUGUGGUGACUGGGUGGAUAACGUAAUAUGUAUGUACUUAAGCAAGCUUUGAGGCGGCUUCCUAUUUUUACAUACUAUGUUAAUGUCUCUUAAAUAUGUCCUGCAGUACUUCCAGAGUUUUCAGAAAUUACAUAGCUUUGGAAACCAUAUGGAGAAACUAUUGCCCAGCUGUAGUACAUUAAGCCAUUUGAACUGUGAAGUUGUUUCUGAAAACACUUCAAUCCCAACCACAUUUUUUGAGAUUAAGCUCAUUUGAUUUUAAAGGAAUUUACUAUAUUAAAUAGCAAUUAAUGGGCAGUAACACCUUGGGGGUGGGGGUUCUCUCCACAUUAUGUCAUACAUCAGAUUAUAUUCCCAAUCUAGAAACUAUAACACACAGCUGCAGUCUACAGACAUGUUGCUCUAUGCCACAAGCUUUGUGUUAAGCAGAGUUUGGGUGUUGACAGCUCUUGCUGAGAAAGAGAAGGCUAUUCGUCUGGAAUCUGUUUCCAUCAGACCUAAACACAUUGACCAUAUGUUCAAAGCUGCAUGUGUUUCUCCAAUCCAGCAAGUAGCAGCAAACUUUACAGCUAUUGAAACUGGAUGCAGAUUUUUCUCUGUGCAUCAUCUUUUCUCUGUGCAUCAUUUGUGCCCUAGGCCCCAAUUUAGAACACUUUAUGUAGGUGCAGAUGUUAGAACAGGGCAUAUUGGCAAAACAAGCCAGCAUAUCUAGUAAACCAGUAUGUUGCUUUUAAAUUAAAUCCAAAGUUUGAAAGUAUCCAUUGGGGUACAGAUAUUUAAAAUAAAAAAAUAGGUACAAAACACACUCGGUGUCCAGAACCAUGAUGAAGGAAUGUAGGCAGUAUUUGCAUAAUUGUGAAAUAUUGAAAACACAUUGCCAGGUGUUUUAGCUACUAGCAUUUUGAGAGAACUUAACUACUUUUAUAAUAUUUUAAUCUAAAUUUCAUCUUAAUUUCUAUCAAGUGAAAACUGACAGUACUAUUAGCAUAAGCGGUAAAUGUAUGGAACAGCAUGGAAUAUAUAGAUAUACCUGAAGGAGUGUUUCCACCCCCAUUGUUCUUCCCAGACCCUCAGGUCCAGUGCCGAGGGCCUUCUGGCAGUUCCUUCACUGUGAGAAGCGAAGUUACAGGGAACCAGACAGAGGGCCUUCUCGGUAGUGGCGCCCGCCCUGUGGAAAACCCUCUCGUCAGAUGUCAAAGAAAUAAACAACUCUCUGACUUUUAGAAGAUAUCUGAAGGCAGCCCUGUUUAGGGAAGCUUUAAUAUUUGAUGAAUUAUUGUAUUUUAAUGUGUUGAAAGCCGCCUAGAGUGGCUGGGGAAACAGCCAGAUGGGCAGGGUAUAAAUAAAUUAUUAUUAUUAUUAUUAUUAAGCUUAAAAAUAAGGCAUUAGUAAAUGGGUGGCUAUACACCACAAGAUGCAUGAAAUAGCCUUUACUACAGGGUGGGGAACAUUUUGAGGGACUGAGAGCUUCAGUGGGUGUUUGGAGAUUUGUUGCAGUUGCAAGAGCACAGCCAAAACCAAAAGGAGGUAGGAUCUGAACAUUCAGUUAAAUAAAUUGUUUCAGAAACCACUAUCCUUGAAUAUUAUAACUAAGAUUAGAACAUUAAUGUUAAGGCAGGCAUAAGUUUGAUAGUGUUCCCUGGCAUCCUUUUUUUGAUAUUUGCUUCCUUUCAUUUGUAACUAUAUCUACACCUCUUCCUUAAUAGUUUUAUUAAUGCCAUUUGCCACUUCCCUUUGUUUGUAUUUUUACUCCUUUUAUUUGGCAUGUCACACUUCCAUGUUUGUGGCCAUUCAUUCCCUCCCCACAUUUUUAAAUUACUUUUGUUUUCUUGAGCUGUUUUCUUUCAUUGUGAGGUGGGAAGGGGUUUAUUUCCCCCCUCUCCUUUGCAAUACAGACAUGCCACUAUCUGAUGCUCUUAAUUCAAGAGCAGCAGCAGGUGACCAUAAAGUAUACAAGACAGACUUCACAGUAGACUUUCAACCAGAUGUGCUUAUGGUCAGAAGGAAAGACAAUAGCAAGGGGCUAUUGGACCAGCACUGAGUUCGGUGCUGCAGUGCAGAAGAUAAAAAUAAAGAAAUAAAGUUAUGCGUGACAGGAUAGGCAAAAAUAAGGUUAUAAUGCACUGGUGGGGUAAAUUAAGCAGUGGAAGUAGAGGGCAAGCAGUUGAGUGCAGAUGUAUCCUGGGUUUUAUUUUGUACAUUUAUUUGAUGGUCCAGGCUCAAUCUUGCAAACUCUGGAUACCGAUUCUGAAAUUAAGUACACUUUCUGGAGGCAAGAUAGAGGGUUUGUCGUAUCAGCUGUACCAAGUGUCUUAAGG